RNAcentral lists this ribosomal RNA (72 nucleotides) under Enterocytozoon bieneusi. RNAcentral's name for it is "partial large subunit ribosomal RNA". The record is from RNAcentral. Lineage: Eukaryota; Fungi; Microsporidia; Enterocytozoonidae.
AGCGGCAGUAGGGUGCCAUCAAGAGGUGUAUUUGGAAAUAUCCCUAAUACAGGAUCACUUGGAUCCGUCGGC